Venturia canescens is the source of this 1256-nucleotide long non-coding RNA. RefSeq lists it as uncharacterized. The transcript has 3 exons. The record is from RefSeq and is a predicted model, not a curated record. Lineage: Eukaryota; Metazoa; Arthropoda; Insecta; Hymenoptera; Ichneumonidae.
CGCACGCUCCAUUGCGAAUCUCAAGCACGCGGUUUUCCACGCUCGAUCCGUAUAAACAUAGAAAUACACGCGUUACGCGCGCGUGUCAACAGGGCUUUUUAAAUCUAGCGAAAUUCGUGAAAAACUUGGCCGACGAAACGUAAAUUAGAAGAAAUUUUCCAACGAUUGUAACGCCCUGGCAGUCGCAGCCGAGUAAACGACGAGACGAAACGGGAUAGUAAAAAAAACAACGAGUGAUCCAGCCAACGAAACGAGGGAGUUGGGUGACCUAAAAUUUUCGGGUGCAUCGAAAGUGGGUGACUAAAAUUAAAACAAAACGACAACAACAACAACAAACGAAGCAUUAAAAAGUAAUCUGACAAUCUGGAAGAAAAAGGAUCGACAGAGAGACUGUUUUAACGGAAACCGGAAGUGGCGGUCAGCCGCGAGGUAACACUCCUCCACAAAAGAGUCCAUCAUCGUCGGAACGCCAAUGCGAGCGUACACACAUGCGCCACUCGUCGCAGACAGGAGUCGCCGAUGAGGGAGAAUGAGCCGUGCGUGACUGGUCAUGAAGCGCGUGAUACAAAAGUUCAAUCGGUCCUACGUCGAAAGAAUACACCGAUGCGAAUGGAAAUUGGAUUUACUGUGCACUUUUAACGCUCUUCGUUGUUGGCUUUGAAAAAACGACGGGGAAACGCGAUGAUACUAAGUGAGAAAAUCACUCAACGAGCAAUAGAAUAUCGAAUAUAAUCGGAGAACCGAACGCGAAACGAUGAUGAAUUUGCGUGAAUUGGAAACUGCGAGAGAUCGCAUUUGGAGCAAGGGCCGCGGCGAAGGAAGGCGAAAAUGGUGAAUUAAUUAUUCAGUUCGGUUCUUCUACGUUUUACGCUUUUUCGUUAUACCUUCGUAUCGUGUGCAAUUGUGUAUGGUUUUCAACGACGAUGAAACCUUCGGAAUAAAAACGUAUACGAUUGCGCUCACGAUCGUUUUUAUUUAAUUAAUAAGAUAAGCAAAAUUAUUGUUGAUUGGUGAUACUUCGCUUGACAUUGGAACACUCAUUUGAACUCCAUCGAUAGAACAUAAAUGAAGUUCGAAACUACGUCUGUGUAAAUAAUCGACAAGUGUGGAUAACCAGUUUAAGUCGCUUCAUUUUUAACAGCGAAGCGUCCCUACGCGUGAAGCGGAGUUUAUACGCUUCAGUAUUUUAGAUGAUGUUGGUUUAAUUUUUUUUCUUCUCCAAAACAAGGACAACAUUUGCGUCACUUGAACUGAGA